This 478-nucleotide ribosomal RNA is filed under the name uncultured bacterium. RNAcentral's name for it is "partial 16S ribosomal RNA". It matches the Rfam family "Bacterial small subunit ribosomal RNA", at positions 28 to 523 of the family's 1533-position model. The record is from RNAcentral.
GACGAACGCUGGCGGCGUGCUUAACACAUGCAAGUCGAACGGUAAGGCCCUUCGGGGUACACGAGUGGCGAACGGGUGAGUAACACGUGGGUGAUCUGCCCUGCACUUCGGGAUAAGCCUGGGGAACUGGGUCUAAUACCGGAUAGGACCACUGCCUGCAUGGGUGGUGGUGGAAAGCUUUUGCGGUGUGGGAUGGGCCCGCGGCCUCUCAGCUUGUUGGGGGGGUGAUGGCCUACCAAGGCGACGACGGGUAGCCGGCCUGAGAGGGUGACCGGCCACACUGGGGAUGAGAUACGGCCCAGACUCCUACGGGAGGCAGCAGUGGGGAAUAUUGCACAAUGGGCGCAAGCCUGAUGCAGCGACGCCGCGUGAGGGAUGACGGCCUUCGGGUUGUAUACCUCUUUCAGCACCGACGAAGCGCAAGUGACGGUAGGUGCAGAAGAAGGACCGGCCAACUACGUGCCAGCCGCCGCCGUAA